GCAUAUCAAAUAAGCGGAGGAAAAGAAACCAACAGGGAUUGCCUUAGUAACGGCGAGUGAAGCGGCAAAAGCUCAAAUUUGAAAUCUGGCACCUUCGGUGUCCGAGUUGUAAUUUGAAGAAGGUAACUUUGGAGUUGGCUCUUGUCUAUGUUCCUUGGAACAGGACGUCACAGAGGGUGAGAAUCCCGUGCGAUGAGAUGCCCAAUUCUAUGUAAAGUGCUUUCGAAGAGUCGAGUUGUUUGGGAAUGCAGCUCUAAGUGGGUGGUAAAUUCCAUCUAAAGCUAAAUAUUGGCGAGAGACCGAUAGCGAACAAGUACAGUGAUGGAAAGAUGAAAAGAACUUUGAAAAGAGAGUGAAAAAGUACGUGAAAUUGUUGAAAGGGAAGGGCUUGAGAUCAGACUUGGUAUUUUGCGAUCCUUUCCUUCUUGGUUGGGUUCCUCGCAGCUUACUGGGCCAGCAUCGGUUUGGAUGGUAGGAUAAUGACUAAGGAAUGUGGCUCUACUUCGGUGGAGUGUUAUAGCCUUGGUUGAUACUGCCUGUCUAGACCGAGGACUGCGUCUUUUGACUAGGAUGUUGGCAUAAUGAUCUUAAGCCACCCGUCUUGAAACCACGGACCA
Molecule: ribosomal RNA, 617 nt
Filed under: Debaryomyces hansenii
Lineage: Eukaryota; Fungi; Ascomycota; Pichiomycetes; Serinales; Debaryomycetaceae
Description: eukaryotic LSU rRNA
Rfam family: Eukaryotic large subunit ribosomal RNA
Source: RNAcentral